GUUUAGAAUAAGGCCUGGCAAGUGGGACCAAGAUCCCAGGGGCACCACGGCUGCAUUUCAGCAAGUCCUUUGACAAAGACGUGAUGUUCCUGUGGAAACAAAAAUGAAGACCAGUGAGAAGGAUCUCUGAAGAACCACAGGGAUUGUGGCUGGUUGGACAACGGUUGCCAGCGUGCUGAUGACAGGGUGUUACAGAGCUCAGUGGAUUCCUCUGGGCCUAUUGAAGGACCAUCAUCUUGACUUCCGGUGUUCAUAUUUUAUCUACAAAAGAGGAGCUGGAAAGCCAAGUUGCAUCUAUCAAGGGGAAAUGCAUCCAUGUUGGUCAGCCUGCAGCCCCAGCAGAGCAAAGAACACCCCCAGGUGGGUCAGCCUCCAGCAACCAGCUCAGCAAACAUUUGGGGCUCUCCUGUUCUCCACCAGAACAGCAAGUCUCCACACCUGAACUUCUGAUGGUGUUAAUUUCUUCACUGAAUUGUGAUGAAGAACUGUUACUGUGGAACCAUUCUGACCUCCAGCCGGGGGGCCGCUGCGGGAAGUGUCCGGAGGUGCAUCAGGAGAACUAGUGCAUUCAAAACAUUCCCAGAAGACGGUGAACAGGUUUUUAGGGGAAAUUAGGUUUCCAAUGCAAAAAUGUAAAGAUUUGAAUAAAAUAAAUACAUAAAUAAAUUUGAGAUAAGU
Molecule: long non-coding RNA, 678 nt
Organism: Manis javanica (Malayan pangolin)
Lineage: Eukaryota; Metazoa; Chordata; Mammalia; Pholidota; Manidae
Source: RefSeq, a predicted model, not a curated record